This 460-nucleotide ribosomal RNA is filed under the name uncultured bacterium. Its description in RNAcentral is "partial 16S ribosomal RNA". It matches the Rfam family "Bacterial small subunit ribosomal RNA", at positions 338 to 795 of the family's 1533-position model. The record is from RNAcentral.
CCUACGGGUGGCAGCAGUGAGGAAUAUUGGUCAAUGGGCGGAAGCCUGAACCAGCCAAGUCGCGUGAGGGAUUAAGGCCCUGCGGGUCGUAAACCUCUUUUGCCGGGGAGCAGAGGUCCGGACGUGUCCGGGCCGGGAGAGUACCCGGAGAAAAAGCAUCGGCUAACUCGGUGCCAGCGGCCGCGGUAAUACGGAGGAUGCGAGCGUUAUCCGGAGUUAUUGGGUUUAAGGGCUGCGUAGGCGGGCAUUAAAGCCGGCGGUAAACUGUCGGGGCCCAACCCCGGACUGACAUCGGAACUGGGUGCCUUGAGUGGGCGAGAAGUAUGCGGAAUGCGUGGUGUAGCGGUGAAAUGCAUAGAUAUCACGCAGAACCCCGAUGGCGAAGGCAGCAUACCGGCGCCCUACUGACGCUGAGGCACGAAAGUGCGGGUAUCGAACAGGAUUAGAUACCCGUGUAGUC